RNAcentral lists this transfer RNA (37 nucleotides) under Crossaster borealis. RNAcentral's name for it is "partial tRNA-Phe". Lineage: Eukaryota; Metazoa; Echinodermata; Asteroidea; Velatida; Solasteridae. The record is from RNAcentral.
UGCUAGGAAAAGGGUUUUGACCUUUAUUUAAGCGUUU